CACAAAAGUUGGACACAGCAUUGGCUCUGUGAGACCAACAAGGAGAUAUCUCUGGGAACAGCCCCAAGGCCUGGGUGUCUCAGGGAUCCUGGUCAUGGAGUGUGGUGUGUGCAUGCAGAGAAGCUGCAAAGAAUAGGGGAGCUCCCUACCAAGACAC
This is a long non-coding RNA of Meriones unguiculatus (Mongolian gerbil), 157 nucleotides long. RefSeq lists it as uncharacterized. The record is from RefSeq and is a predicted model, not a curated record. The transcript is spliced from 3 exons. Lineage: Eukaryota; Metazoa; Chordata; Mammalia; Rodentia; Muridae.